Molecule: ribosomal RNA, 253 nt
Filed under: uncultured bacterium
Lineage: Bacteria
Description: partial 16S ribosomal RNA
Rfam family: Bacterial small subunit ribosomal RNA
Source: RNAcentral
UACGUAGGCAGCAAGCGUUGUUCGGAGUUACUGGGCGUAAAGGGUGCGUAGGCGGCGCGGUAAGUCGGGUGUGAAAUCUUGGAGCUUAACUCCGAAACUGCAUUCGAUACUGCCGUGCUUGAGGACUGGAGAGGAGACUGGAAUUUACGGUGUAGCGGUGAAAUGCGUAGAUAUCGGGAGGAACACCAGUGGCGAAGGCGGCUUCCUGGCCUGUUCUUGACGCUGAGGCGCGAAAGCUAGGGGAGCAAACGGG